UGAACGCUGGCGGCGUGCUUAACACAUGCAAGUCGAACGAAACACCUUAUUUGAUUUUCUUCGGAACUGAAGAUUUGGUGAUUGAGUGGCGGACGGGUGAGUAACGCGUGGGUAACCUGCCCUGUACAGGGGGAUAACAGUCAGAAAUGACUGCUAAUACCGCAUAAGACCACAGCACCGCAUGGUGCAGGGGUAAAAACUCCGGUGGUACAGGAUGGACCCGCGUCUGAUUAGCUGGUUGGUGAGGUAACGGCUCACCAAGGCGACGAUCAGUAGCCGGCUUGAGAGAGUGAACGGCCACAUUGGGACUGAGACACGGCCCAAACUCCUACGGGAGGCAGCAGUGGGGAAUAUUGCACAAUGGGGGAAACCCUGAUGCAGCGACGCCGCGUGAGUGAAGAAGUAUUUCGGUAUGUAAAGCUCUAUCAGCAGGGAAGAAAAUGACGGUACCUGACUAAGAAGCCCCGGCUAACUACGUG
Molecule: ribosomal RNA, 479 nt
Filed under: uncultured bacterium
Lineage: Bacteria
Description: partial 16S ribosomal RNA
Rfam family: Bacterial small subunit ribosomal RNA
Source: RNAcentral